CCUACGGGUGGCAGCAGUGAGGAAUAUUGGUCAAUGGACGAGAGUCUGAACCAGCCAAGUAGCGUGAAGGAUGACUGCCCUAUGGGUUGUAAACUUCUUUUAUAUGGAAAUAAAACGUUCCACGUGUGGGAUUUUGUAUGUACCAUAUGAAUAAGGAUCGGCUAACUACGUGCCAGCAGCCGCGGUAAUACGGAGGAUCCGAGCGUUAUCCGGAUUUAUUGGGUUUAAAGGGAGCGUAGGUGGAUUGUUAAGUCAGUUGUGAAAGUUUGCGGCUCAACCGUAAAAUUGCAGUUGAAACUGGCAGUCUUGAGUACAGUAGAGGUGGGCGGAAUUCGUGGUGUAGCGGUGAAAUGCUUAGAUAUCACGAAGAACUCCGAUUGCGAAGGCAGUUCACUGGACUGCAACUGACACUGAGGCUCGAAAGUGUGGGUAUCAAACAGGAUUAGAUACCCUAGUAGUC
Molecule: ribosomal RNA, 460 nt
Filed under: uncultured bacterium
Lineage: Bacteria
Description: partial 16S ribosomal RNA
Rfam family: Bacterial small subunit ribosomal RNA
Source: RNAcentral